CGCGAAACUAGGUGAGCUAAGUAAAUGUAAUUGUUAGAUUAGUAUAUGUUACAUAAUAUACCUAAACUUUUACUUAGGGGUGAUAGGCUUCUCAAAUCUAGUGAUAUCUCGAUUCUUAAGAAAAACAUUGAGUGUUUAAACAAUCAGGUAGUGAUUAGGCUACCUAAGUGCAUAAAUUCUUUAACCUAUUAUUAUUUUGACUUAACUGUUAAGUAGUUUGUAGACUAAUAUGUAUUUAAAAAGCAUUUAUGGUUUAUAUUAAGCCUUAAUACAAUUCUAAAGUAUAGUGAUACUGUAUCUAUUAGUAGUGGUUAAAAUAUUCAAAAUGAACUCGGCAACGUACCCUUCAACUGUUUACCAAAAACAUAGUUACGUGCAACUAUCCGUAAUGGUUUCUGCUCAAUGAGAUUUAAAUAGCCGCAGUACCCUGACUGUGCAAAGGUAGCGUAAUAAGUUGACUUCCAAAUAAAGUCCUGUAUGAAUGAAUGCAUGGGGGGUAACUUUAUCUUGAAUAUGAGCCGAACUUAUCUUUAAAGUGCAAAAUCUUUACGCAAAAUGACAGACGAGAAGACCCUUGAAAUUUUUAAUGAAAUUGUAAAAGGAGGUUUUUGUUGGGGCAACAGAGUAACACGAAACUUACUUUUAUGACAUGACUAUAUGUGUGGAAGAUGAAAUUACUCUAGGGAUAACAGCGUAAUUUAAUAAAGUUUGCGACCUCGAUGUUGGACUAGGAAAAAAUUGUUCAGAA
RNAcentral lists this ribosomal RNA (748 nucleotides) under Turgenitubulus aslini. RNAcentral describes it as "partial 16S ribosomal RNA". Lineage: Eukaryota; Metazoa; Mollusca; Gastropoda; Stylommatophora; Camaenidae. The record is from RNAcentral.